Cricetulus griseus (Chinese hamster) is the source of this 135-nucleotide small nucleolar RNA. Its record names the gene SNORA70. It matches the Rfam family "Small nucleolar RNA SNORA70". From Rfam's summary of the family: snoRNA U70 seems to be exclusive to mammals and is a member of the H/ACA class of snoRNA which contain H (ANANNA) and ACA box motifs. H/ACA box snoRNAs are involved in the conversion of uridines to pseudouridines (5-ribosyluracil) a constituent of structural RNAs (transfer, ribosomal, small nuclear, and small nucleolar). Lineage: Eukaryota; Metazoa; Chordata; Mammalia; Rodentia; Cricetidae. The record is from Ensembl.
CAGCAGCCAACUAUGCCAACCAAGUCCUUUUCCCCAUGGGUUCCUGGUGUGCAAUGGUUACAAAGAGCAGUCUCCUUGGUAGCAAAUGUAGCCUGUCGCCUAUGUGAGUUGCCCUAAGGGACCUCGAAGAUGAUU